This 1048-nucleotide long non-coding RNA is filed under the name Physcomitrium patens. RNAcentral's name for it is "long non-coding RNA (PPAT_LNC005060)". Lineage: Eukaryota; Viridiplantae; Streptophyta; Bryopsida; Funariales; Funariaceae. The record is from RNAcentral.
UUAGGAUUAGGAUUUGGUUAGGAUUUGAUUUAGGAUUAGGAUUUGAUUAGGAUUUAGGAUUAAGAUUAGAAUUUGGUUAGGAUUUGAUUUAAGAUUAGGAUUUGAUUAGGAUUUAGUUAGGAUUUGAUUUAAGAUUAGGAUUUGGUUUAGGAUUUAGGAUUAGAGUUAGCAUUUGGUUAGGAUUUGAUUUAGGAUUAGAAUUUGAUUAGGAUUUAGUUAGGAUUUGAUUUAGGAUUAUGUUAUGGUUUAGGAUUUAGAAUUAGGGUUAGGAUUUGGUUAGGAUUUGAUUUAGGGUUAGGAUUUAGGAUUUAGGAUUAGAAUUAGGAUUUGGUUAGGAUUUGAUUUAGGAUUAGGGUUUAGGAUUUGAUUUAAAAUUAGGAUUUGAUUCAGGAUUUAGGAUUUGGUUAGGGUUUGAUUUAGGAUUAAGUUUUGAUUAAGAUUUGAUUUAGAAUAAGAAUUUGGUUAGGAUUUGAUUUAGGAUUUAGGAUUAAGAUUAGGAUUUGAUUAGGAUUUGAUUUAGGAUUUAGGAUUAAGAUUAGGAUUUGAUUAGGAUUUGAUUUAGGAUUUAGGAUUUGGUUUAAGAUUUAGGAUUUGGUUAGGGUUUGAUUUAAGAUUAAGUUUUGGUUAAGAUUUGAUUUAGGAUAAGGAUUUGGUUAGGAUUUGAUUUAAGAUUUAGGAUUAAGAUUAGGAUUUGAUUAGGAUUUGGUUAGGAUUUGAUUUAGGAUUUAGGAUUUGGUUUAGGGUUUAAAGUUUGGAUAGGAUUUGAUGAAGAUUUGAUUUAGGAUUUAGGAUUUUAUUUGAGUUUGUUUAGAAUUUAAAAUUUAGUUAGUUUUUGGCCUAAAGUUUGAAUGAGGUUCAAUAAGAUUUCAACUGGAAUUAAAUUAAGAUUGAAUUGAGAUGUAUUUGAAAUAUGUUUGUAAUCAUUCUAAUAUUUCUUUAAGAUCUCUUAUUGUUUCUUUGGAAUUCUUUUGAGAUUUCUUUGAAUUUGAUUAACGUUUGUUUAGCUUUCUUAGUGUUCUAUUAGAAUUAGGAUUUUUUUUCUUGUAAU